UGGGGCGUCGCCAAGCGGUAAGGCACCGGACUCUGACUCCGGCAUUUCGUUGGUUCAAAUCCAGCCGCCCCAGCCA
This 76-nucleotide transfer RNA is filed under the name Bacillota bacterium. RNAcentral describes it as "tRNA-Gln". It matches the Rfam family "tRNA". Rfam says of the family: Transfer RNA (tRNA) molecules are approximately 80 nucleotides in length. Their secondary structure includes four short double-helical elements and three loops (D, anti-codon, and T loops). Lineage: Bacteria; Bacillati; Bacillota. RNAcentral also lists the same sequence under 3 other names. The record is from RNAcentral.